Molecule: long non-coding RNA, 288 nt
Filed under: Aedes aegypti (yellow fever mosquito)
Lineage: Eukaryota; Metazoa; Arthropoda; Insecta; Diptera; Culicidae
Description: lncRNA AAEL025550
Source: RNAcentral
UGAUCGACGAGUUAUCAGACGCCAGGUGGAUGGUUCAAAAUCCGGUUUACCGUAGAUUAUCCCAGAGCACGGACACUGCCAAUAAUAGCAGCAUCAAAUUCGACCUGGACCGUUUUGUGGCAGAAGUCCCACUCAAGACAGCAUAAAAAGGCCUUCAUCAGAGGGCCUUUUAUUUGCAGGCUCAAAUAGGCACUGCACUCCACGCGACGUUCUCAUCGCUCAGCACCCCAGCUACCUGCACGCUUUCCGUCAGCCGGUCAAAUUCUGGGAGGAAGGUCCUACACGAGC